GGGGCAGGCUCGAUGGUCGCGGGUGCUUCGGCAUCCGAGGAAAGUCCGAGCUCCACAGGGCAGACUGCCAGGUAACGCCUGGGCGCCGCAAGGCGACGGACAGGGCAACAGAAAGCAAACCGCCCGAAGGUGCGCAAGCGCCGGAGGGUAAGGGUGAAAGGGUGGGGUAAGAGCCCACCGCGUCGCUGGUAACAGCGAUGGCACGGCAACCCCCAGUCGGAGCAAGGCCAAAUAAGCGGCGAGGUGCGGCCCGCACCGACCCCACCGGCAACGGUGAGCCGCGGGUAGGCUGCUCGAGGCGGUCGGCGACGAUCGUCCCAGACAGAUGACCAUCCCCUGGCAACAGGGUACAGAACUCGGCUUAUGGCCUGCCCCACGC
Molecule: RNase P RNA, 379 nt
Filed under: Gammaproteobacteria bacterium
Lineage: Bacteria; Pseudomonadati; Pseudomonadota; Gammaproteobacteria
Also listed under: 1 other name
Description: RNase P RNA component class A
Rfam family: Bacterial RNase P class A
About the family: Ribonuclease P (RNase P) is a ubiquitous endoribonuclease, found in archaea, bacteria and eukarya as well as chloroplasts and mitochondria. Its best characterised activity is the generation of mature 5'-ends of tRNAs by cleaving the 5'-leader elements of precursor-tRNAs.
Source: RNAcentral